UACGGGGGAUGCGAGCGUUAUCCGGAUUUAUUGGGUUUAAAGGGUGCGUAGGCGGACUGUCAAGUCAGCGGUAAAAUUGAGAGGCUCAACCUCUUCCCGCCGUUGAAACUGGUGGUCUUGAGUGGAUGAGAAGUACGCGGAAUGUGUGGUGUAGCGGUGAAAUGCAUAGAUAUCACGCAGAACUCCGAUUGCGAAGGCAGCGUACCGGCAUCCAACUGACGCUGAGGCACGAAAGCGUGGGGAUCAAACAGG
Molecule: ribosomal RNA, 252 nt
Filed under: uncultured bacterium
Lineage: Bacteria
Description: partial 16S ribosomal RNA
Rfam family: Bacterial small subunit ribosomal RNA
Source: RNAcentral